GACGAACGCUGGCGGCGUGCUUAACACAUGCAAGUCGAACGGUGAAGCUCCAGCUUGCUGGAGUGGAUCAGUGGCGAACGGGUGAGUAACACGUGAGCAACCUGCCCCUGACUCUGGAAUAAGCGCUGGAAACGGCGUCUAAUACUGGAUACGAGAAGGGUCCGCAUGGGCACUUUCUGGAAAGUUUUUCGGUUGGGGAUGGGCUCGCGGCCUAUCAGCUUGUUGGUGAGGUAAUGGCUCACCAAGGCGACGACGGGUAGCCGGCCUGAGAGGGCGACCGGCCACACUGGGACUGAGACACGGCCCAGACUCCUACGGGAGGCAGCAGUGGGGAAUAUUGCACAAUGGGCGAAAGCCUGAUGCAGCGACGCCGCGUGAGGGAGGACGGCCUUCGGGUUGUAAACCUCUUUCAGCAGGGAAGAAGCGAAAGUGACGGUACCUGCAGAAGAAGCACCGGCUAACUACGU
This 467-nucleotide ribosomal RNA is filed under the name uncultured bacterium. RNAcentral describes it as "partial 16S ribosomal RNA". It matches the Rfam family "Bacterial small subunit ribosomal RNA", at positions 28 to 506 of the family's 1533-position model. The record is from RNAcentral.